UUCUGCGUAUCCAAGCAUUGGGGGGACAAAGUAAUACUUGGCAUUAAUGGAGCUCACCCAUAAGGAAUGCCUAUUCCAAACUUCUUCGCUUAUGAAAAGGAGGAUCCGGGGGGCAUAUCAUUCCCAACAUGCACUGCUUAUCUGAAAAGGCAAGGAACUGAGGAGCAGGAAGGCCAAGGAAACUGCGCAGGGUCACAGACCUAGGAAACAGCAGAGCGGAGACUGGAGCCUCUGGCAGUGUGAGCUGUGCGGCUCUCAACCCCGACAUCACGGUUGCCUACCACGCGCACAGCCAGAACCUGAAUUUAGAACUUCAACUCCAAGGCCAAAGCUCUUUUCACUAUCCCAUGGUAUUACAAGGAUACAUGUAUUAUAAUUAGACUCUAUGCUGAAAAAGAAAACCUUCCACACAAUAAAUGGGGUCAGAGGAGGAACAGGCCA
Felis catus (domestic cat) is the source of this 441-nucleotide long non-coding RNA. RefSeq lists it as uncharacterized. The transcript has 2 exons. Lineage: Eukaryota; Metazoa; Chordata; Mammalia; Carnivora; Felidae. The record is from RefSeq and is a predicted model, not a curated record.